UGGGGAAUCUUAGACGAUGGGGGAAACCCUGAUCUAGCCAUGCCGCGUGAGCGAUGAAGGCCUUAGGGUUGUAAAGCUCUUUCAGCUGGGAAGAUAAUGACGGUACCAGCAGAAGAAGCCCCGGCUAACUCCGUGCCAGCAGCCGCGGUAAUACGGAGGGGGCUAGCGUUGUUCGGAAUUACUGGGCGUAAAGCGCACGUAGGCGGAUUAGUCAGUCAGAGGUGAAAUCCCAGGGCUCAACCCUGGAACUGCCUUUGAUACUGCUAGUCUUGAGGUCGAGAGAGGUGAGUGGAAUUCCGAGUGUAGAGGUGAAAUUCGUAGAUAUUCGGAGGAACACCAGUGGCGAAGGCGGCUCACUGGCUCGAUACUGACGCUGAGGUGCGAAAGCGUGGGGAGCAAACAAGAUUAGAUACCCUGGUAGUCCACGCCGUAAACGAUGAAUGCCAGUCGUCGGGUUGCAUGCAAUUCGGUGACACACCUAACGGAUUAAGCAUUCCGCCUGGGGAGUACGGUCGCAAGAUUAAAACUCAAAUGAAUUGACGGGGUCAUAGCUGUUUCCUG
RNAcentral lists this ribosomal RNA (561 nucleotides) under uncultured bacterium. RNAcentral's name for it is "partial 16S ribosomal RNA". It matches the Rfam family "Bacterial small subunit ribosomal RNA", at positions 355 to 1376 of the family's 1533-position model. The record is from RNAcentral.